This 76-nucleotide transfer RNA is filed under the name bacterium (Candidatus Gribaldobacteria) CG_4_10_14_0_2_um_filter_33_15. RNAcentral describes it as "tRNA-Lys". It matches the Rfam family "tRNA". Rfam says of the family: Transfer RNA (tRNA) molecules are approximately 80 nucleotides in length. Their secondary structure includes four short double-helical elements and three loops (D, anti-codon, and T loops). The record is from RNAcentral. Lineage: Bacteria; Candidatus Gribaldobacteria.
GCCCCCGUAGCUCAAUUGGUAGAGCAAUUCCCUUUUAAGGAAGUGGUUCCGCGUUCGAGUCGCGGCGGGGGCACUA